RNAcentral lists this ribosomal RNA (846 nucleotides) under Triticum aestivum (bread wheat). RNAcentral describes it as "partial small subunit ribosomal RNA". Lineage: Eukaryota; Viridiplantae; Streptophyta; Magnoliopsida; Poales; Poaceae. The record is from RNAcentral.
AUGCGCGACCUCGAACGAGCCGGCCUUGCACGGAGGCUGCGUUGGCUGUGGUUCUCCAGAACAGAUCCCGAGCGAGCGUGGCAAGGGCUUGCCCUCCAGUUCUCGUCCAUGGAGCAUGCGCUCUUCUGGCCAUCCACGUCCAUGGUCAUCGGGAAUGGGUUGACCGCCCUGCUAUGGGAGGACCGGUGGAUCAACGGCCAGUCCGUCUGCGAGCUCCUUCCCAACCUCUACGACUGCAUCCCCAAGCGACGGCGCACGGCGAGAACCAUGGCCGACGGGCUGAAUGGCAACUCCUGGGCACGCGACAUUCACGGCAACCUGGGCCUGCAUGAGAUUGGUCAGUACCUGCAGCUUUGGCAGGUAAUGCAGCACACCGAGCUCUCCGCUGCCCCGGACCAGCUGAUCUGGAAAUGGACGGCGAGCGGCACCUACUCCGCCCAAUCCAGCUACUUGGCCACAUUCCAUGGAUCGACGACUUGCUACUCCUGGAAGCUUAUCUGGAAAAGUUGGGCGCCGCCAAGAGUAAAAUUCUUCCACUGGCUGGCCAACCAAGACCGGUGCUGGACUGCUGAGAGGCUGGCUCGCCAUGGACUGCAACACCACCCUCGCUGUCUCCUAUGCGAUCAAGAGCCGGAAAUGCUCCGACACCUGCUGCUGGAAUGCCCCUUCGCUCGCCAGGCAUGGCACGAGGUCCUGGCCUGGCUGCGCAUUCCAGCCCCGAUUCCCACCCGCAAGCCCUCGCUCAUGGAUUGGUGGAAGCAUGCCAAAAGAGAACACGUCGCCGAGCCUUCACAAAGCCCUGAAACCCGUUGCGUUGCUCGUGCCUUGGAUGGUUUGGAAGCAUAG